UCCCUCAUAUCUAAGUCAGUAAAGAAUCUGCCUGCAAUGCAGGAGACCGAGGUUCAAGUCCUGGGUUGGGAA
Ovis aries (sheep) is the source of this 72-nucleotide transfer RNA. It matches the Rfam family "tRNA". From Rfam's summary of the family: Transfer RNA (tRNA) molecules are approximately 80 nucleotides in length. Their secondary structure includes four short double-helical elements and three loops (D, anti-codon, and T loops). The record is from Rfam. NCBI's taxonomy places the organism in Eukaryota, Metazoa, Chordata, Mammalia, Artiodactyla, Bovidae.